UACGGAGGGUGCAAGCGUUGUUCGGAAUCAUUGGGCGUAAAGCGCGUGUAGGCGGUUAUCUAAGUCUGAUGUGAAAGCCCGGGGCUUAACCCCGGAAGUGCAUUGGAUACUGGAUAACUAGAGGGCGAGAGAGGGAAGUGGAAUUCCUGGUGUAGGGGUGAAAUCCGUAGAUAUCAGGAGGAACAUCGGAGGCGAAGGCGGCUUCCUGGCUCGUUUCUGACGCUGAGACGCGAAAGCGUGGGUAGCAAACAGG
RNAcentral lists this ribosomal RNA (253 nucleotides) under uncultured bacterium. Its description in RNAcentral is "partial 16S ribosomal RNA". It matches the Rfam family "Bacterial small subunit ribosomal RNA", at positions 524 to 776 of the family's 1533-position model. The record is from RNAcentral.